ACAUGUUCAUUUUGUUUUUUAUAAUAUAUGAAGGAAUAGGUACAUUGACGGUACUUUCAUUACUUUAUACGAUGUACACGUAUUUAGAAAUGUUCGUAGUGGUGCUUGAAUCAACCCUUGGUGAUGUCAAACGUACUAAAGAUUGGAACAUACGUCGGUUUAAGCUGAUGAUAGCAUACAAACAUCACAUAUUUAUGCUUAGAUUUUGGAAAAAGGUAGUAAAUCUUUACAAGUGGGGUAUGUUACUACACAUUGUGUCCAGUGGUAUGGAAAUAGCGUUGAUUCUGAUAUCAGAGUUGAUUCAUUUUGAGAUUCUAUCGAUUUGUCAUCUUAGCUUGUACCUGGUGGGGACAAUAUUUGUUGGCACACUAGGCGAAAAUUUAAUUAGUCUUGGAGAUAAAAUUCGAAACUCCACGUUUUAUGCUUGUCCUUGGGAUGGAGAUAUAGAAAGUGUCAAGUACCUUCUUUUUAUGAAUUUGAAUUCUAGAAAAGGAUUCAAUUUGCCAGCUGGGAAUUAUGCAAUUUGUUCCAAUGCACUGGCACUA
Dalotia coriaria is the source of this 545-nucleotide long non-coding RNA. RefSeq lists it as uncharacterized. NCBI's taxonomy places the organism in Eukaryota, Metazoa, Arthropoda, Insecta, Coleoptera, Staphylinidae. The record is from RefSeq and is a predicted model, not a curated record. The transcript is spliced from 4 exons.